GAAAGUGGAGGAGUACUUGACCAGAUGCAGGAAACAACACCCUGUUUCUUUUUUUGUUUUGGGCUUAGAUUGGCCGUUCCAUCCUUUAUCUUUUACUUUUUUUCGUUUUAUUUUUAUUUUUAUUUUUAUUUUCUUUCUGCUUAAAAUUAUUCAGGAUACCACUUCCACCCCUGUUUGUUUAUCUUUCUGCUUUCUCUUUUGUUUACUAGAACAUUAAAGAGUGCGCUUUUAUUAUUUUUUUUGUUUUAAUUUUAUUUCUUUUGGUUUUGUUUUCUGGGUAGGUUUAGUCUUAUAUGUUUGUCAUAAAAAUAUAAUAAGAAUUAAAUAAAAGAUAAAAGAAGAGAGUAAAACUACAAAAUUAUCAAAAUAGUUUUAAUUUCUUUUUCUAACACUUAAUAUCUUUUAAUAACUAAAUGUAGUUUUAAUUAAUUUUCAAAUUUAGACUUUUCCUAAAAAAAAUACCAAUGCAAAUGUUAUUUUUAAUUUAUUUCAAAUACUUUGAUAAAUAUUACUGUUAAACCAUUAUGUAAAUACAAU
Molecule: long non-coding RNA, 537 nt
Filed under: Vigna radiata
Lineage: Eukaryota; Viridiplantae; Streptophyta; Magnoliopsida; Fabales; Fabaceae
Description: long non-coding RNA (VRAD_LNC012124)
Source: RNAcentral